AGCGAACGCUGGCGGCAGGCUUAACACAUGCAAGUCGAGCGGGCACUUUCGGGUGUCAGCGGCGGACGGGUGCGUAACGCGUGGGAACGUGCCCUCUGGUUCGGAAUAACUCAGGGAAACUUGAGCUAAUACCGGAUACGCCCUUUUGGGGAAAGGCUUGCUGCCGGAGGAUCGGCCCGCGUCUGAUUAGCUAAUUGGUGAGGUAACGGCUCACCAAGGCGACGAUCAGUAGCUGGUCUGAGAGGAUGAUCAGCCACACUGGGACUGAGACACGGCCCAGACUCCUACGGGAGGCAGCAGUGGGGAAUAUUGGACAAUGGGCGCAAGCCUGAUCCAGCCAUGCCGCGUGAGUGAUCAAGGCCUUAGGGUUGUAAAGCUCUUUUAUCCGGGACGAUAAUGACGGUACCGGAGGAAUAAGCCCCGGCUAACUUCGUG
RNAcentral lists this ribosomal RNA (435 nucleotides) under uncultured bacterium. RNAcentral's name for it is "partial 16S ribosomal RNA". It matches the Rfam family "Bacterial small subunit ribosomal RNA", at positions 29 to 507 of the family's 1533-position model. The record is from RNAcentral.